This 616-nucleotide ribosomal RNA is filed under the name Pichia kudriavzevii. RNAcentral's name for it is "eukaryotic LSU rRNA". It matches the Rfam family "Eukaryotic large subunit ribosomal RNA", at positions 28 to 671 of the family's 3401-position model. The record is from RNAcentral. Lineage: Eukaryota; Fungi; Ascomycota; Pichiomycetes; Pichiales; Pichiaceae.
UUGCAUUUUCCCAAAAGCGGAGGAAAAGAAACCAACAGGGAUUGCCUCAGUAGCGGCGAGUGAAGCGGCAAGAGCUCAGAUUUGAAAUCGUGCUUUGCGGCACGAGUUGUAGAUUGCAGGUUGGAGUCUGUGUGGAAGGCGGUGUCCAAGUCCCUUGGAACAGGGCGCCCAGGAGGGUGAGAGCCCCGUGGGAUGCCGGCGGAAGCAGUGAGGCCCUUCUGACGAGUCGAGUUGUUUGGGAAUGCAGCUCCAAGCGGGUGGUAAAUUCCAUCUAAGGCUAAAUACUGGCGAGAGACCGAUAGCGAACAAGUACUGUGAAGGAAAGAUGAAAAGCACUUUGAAAAGAGAGUGAAACAGCACGUGAAAUUGUUGAAAGGGAAGGGUAUUGCGCCCGACAUGGGGAUUGCGCACCGCUGCCUCUCGUGGGCGGCGCUCUGGGCUUUCCCUGGGCCAGCAUCGGUUCUUGCUGCAGGAGAAGGGGUUCUGGAACGUGGCUCUUCGGAGUGUUAUAGCCAGGGCCAGAUGCUGCGUGCGGGGACCGAGGACUGCGGCCGUGUAGGUCACGGAUGCUGGCAGAACGGCGCAACACCGCCCGUCUUGACACCGCGGACCAAAA